AAGUACAUUGGACGGCAUAUUUGUUUCACCAUAGGUGGAAAGGACUGAAGUUGUUUUCGAUUGUAAAUACUUGUUAAAAGUUUAAAAACGAAUAGUUCCAUAUCGAAUAAUUUACUAUAGUGUAAAAAGAUGGUAUAUACUACUGAACUCAGACCUAAAAGGCUUAAGCUUUAAGCUGAAAGUAUUUUAGUAGAUAUGUUACAUUCUUAGACUCAUGUGGGCUUGGAUUGGGUGCAAACCUCCCAACCAAGUGAGGUAUUAGAGCCAAUGCUUUGAAGAUCCUAUAUUACUCGUCCAAGUAGUGUGGUAUAACUGAGUUAGUGGCUCUUGCGAACAUAAUGGAUUUGCUGAUAGGAGUUAUGAUGGAUUUGUGGAUAGAAGUCAUGGAACGCA
RNAcentral lists this long non-coding RNA (393 nucleotides) under Ananas comosus (pineapple). RNAcentral describes it as "long non-coding RNA (ACOM_LNC018318)". Lineage: Eukaryota; Viridiplantae; Streptophyta; Magnoliopsida; Poales; Bromeliaceae. The record is from RNAcentral.